Vanrija pseudolonga is the source of this 81-nucleotide non-coding RNA. NCBI's taxonomy places the organism in Eukaryota, Fungi, Basidiomycota, Tremellomycetes, Trichosporonales, Trichosporonaceae. The record is from the annotation of a RefSeq genome assembly.
GCCCGCUUAGCUCAGUGGCAGAGCGUUGGCCUUCGGUGCACGGAGAACCAACGGUCGUAGGUUCGACCCCUGCAGCGGGCU